Molecule: ribosomal RNA, 267 nt
Filed under: uncultured bacterium
Lineage: Bacteria
Description: partial 16S ribosomal RNA
Rfam family: Bacterial small subunit ribosomal RNA
Source: RNAcentral
UCCUACGGGAGGCAGCAGUGAGGAAUAUUGGUCAAUGGGAGAGAUCCUGAACCAGCCAAGCCGCGUGAGGGAAGACGGCCCUAUGGGUUGUAAACCUCUUUUGUCGGAGAACAAAACCCGGGACGUGUCCCGGACUGCGUGUAUCCGAAGAAAAAGCAUCGGAUAACUCCGUGCCAGCAGCCGCGGUAAUACGGAGGAUCCGAGCGUUAUCCGGAUUUAUUGGGUUUAAAGGGGGCGUAGGUGGAUUGUUAAGUCAGUUGUGAAAGU